This 447-nucleotide ribosomal RNA is filed under the name uncultured bacterium. RNAcentral's name for it is "bacterial SSU rRNA". It matches the Rfam family "Bacterial small subunit ribosomal RNA", at positions 29 to 524 of the family's 1533-position model. The record is from RNAcentral.
AACGAACGCUGGCGGCAGGCUUAACACAUGCAAGUCGAACGCUCCGCAAGGAGAGUGGCAGACGGGUGAGUAACGCGUGGGAACGUGCCUUUUGGUUCGGAACAACUUCGGGAAACUGGAGCUAAUACCGAAUGUGCCCUUCGGGGAAAGAUUUAUCGCCAAAAGAUCGGCCCGCGUCAGAUUAGCUAGUUGGUGGGGUAAUGGCCUACCAAGGCGACGAUCUGUAGCUGGUCUGAGAGGAUGAUCAGCCACACUGGGACUGAGACACGGCCCAGACUCCUACGGGAGGCAGCAGUGGGGAAUCUUGGACAAUGGGCGCAAGCCUGAUCCAGCCAUGCCGCGUGAAUGAUGAAGGCCUUAGGGUUGUAAAAUUCUUUCGUCGGGGACGAUAAUGACGGUACCCGAAGAAGAAGCUCCGGCUAACUUCGUGCCAGCAGCCGCGGUAAU